UUUAGCAUACCAUUUUAAUUUUUUUUUUUAACUAUACUUUUUUGCUUCUUCAUAGUUGCUCUGGGGAUUAUAAUAUGCUUCUUAAUUUAUCACAGUCUACUUCAGAUUAGUACUAACUUAAUUUCAGUAAAAUAUGGAAACUUCCUAGAGGCCGCGGUCCGCCCGGGGCUUCUCCGGAGGCGCCCAGUGCAGCCGCGAAGAGUUAGGCUCUGUCAGCCGCGGAUCCCGCGGGGGCCAAGGGUGAGGCUUAGGCCGCGGGCCGCAGGAAGAAAAACCGAGCGAGUUCUCACGCGCGGUGCGCUUCCCUGAGCUGUGGGUUGUGCACCUGGGACUCGGCUCAGACACGU
RNAcentral lists this telomerase RNA (347 nucleotides) under Dasypus novemcinctus (nine-banded armadillo). Its description in RNAcentral is "Vertebrate telomerase RNA (ENSDNOG00000030457.1)". It matches the Rfam family "Vertebrate telomerase RNA". From Rfam's summary of the family: Telomerase is a ribonucleoprotein reverse transcriptase that synthesises telomeric DNA. Telomerase RNAs differ greatly in sequence and structure between vertebrates, ciliates and yeasts, but they share a 5' pseudoknot structure close to the template sequence. The record is from RNAcentral. Lineage: Eukaryota; Metazoa; Chordata; Mammalia; Cingulata; Dasypodidae.